GGAUGCGAUCAUAGCGGCACUAAAGCACCGGAUCCCAUCAGAACUCCGAAGUUAAGCGUGCUUGGGCGAGAGUAGUACUAGGAUAUGGGUGACCUCCUGGGAAGUCCUCGUGCUGCAUUCC
Molecule: non-coding RNA, 121 nt
Organism: Triticum aestivum (bread wheat)
Lineage: Eukaryota; Viridiplantae; Streptophyta; Magnoliopsida; Poales; Poaceae
Source: Rfam